Molecule: ribosomal RNA, 427 nt
Filed under: uncultured bacterium
Lineage: Bacteria
Description: bacterial SSU rRNA
Rfam family: Bacterial small subunit ribosomal RNA
Source: RNAcentral
CUAAGAAUAUUCCGCAAUGGACGGAAGUCUGACGGAGCGACGCCGCGUGGAUGACGAAGGCCGAAAGGUUGUAAAGUUCUUUUGCUGGGGAAGAAUAACCGCAGGAGGGAAUGCCUGUGGGAUGACAAGAACCGGCGAAUAAGCCCCGGCCAACUACGUGCCAGCAGCCGCGGUAACACGUAGGGGGCGAGCGUUGUUCGGAAUUACUGGGCGUAAAGGGCAUGUAGGCGGCUUGGAAAGCCUGGCGUGAAAGUCUGCAGCUUAACUGCAGGGGUGCGCUGGGAACUGCUGAGCUUGAGUGACGGAGAGGGAGCUGGAAUUCCUGGGGUAGGGGUGAAAUCUGUAGAUAUCAGGAAGAACACCGAUGGCGAAGGCAAGCUCCUGGCCGAUGACUGACGCUGAGGUGCGAAAGUGUGGGGAUCAAACA